This 253-nucleotide ribosomal RNA is filed under the name uncultured bacterium. RNAcentral describes it as "partial 16S ribosomal RNA". It matches the Rfam family "Bacterial small subunit ribosomal RNA", at positions 524 to 776 of the family's 1533-position model. The record is from RNAcentral.
UACGAAGGGGGCUAGCGUUGUUCGGAAUUACUGGGCGUAAAGCGCACGUAGGCGGCCUUGUAAGUUGGGGGUGAAAUCCCGGGGCUCAACCUCGGAAUUGCCUUCAAGACUGCAGGGCUCGAGUUCGGGAGAGGUGAGUGGAAUUCCCAGUGUAGAGGUGAAAUUCGUAGAGAUUGGGAAGAACACCAGUGGCGAAGGCGGCUCACUGGCCCGUAACUGACGCUGAGGUGCGAAAGCGUGGGGAGCAAACAGG